This 497-nucleotide ribosomal RNA is filed under the name uncultured bacterium. Its description in RNAcentral is "partial 16S ribosomal RNA". It matches the Rfam family "Bacterial small subunit ribosomal RNA", at positions 28 to 507 of the family's 1533-position model. The record is from RNAcentral.
GAUGAACGCUGGCGGCGUGCCUAAUACAUGCAAGUCGAGCGAACAGACGAGGAGCUUGCUCCCCUGACGUUAGCGGCGGACGGGUGAGUAACACGUGGAUAACCUACCUAUAAGACUGGGAUAACUUCGGGAAACCGGAGCCAAUACCGGAUAAUAUAUUGAACCGCAUGGUUCAAUAGUGAAAGACGGUUUUGCUGUCACUUAUAGAUGGAUCCGCGCCGCAUUAGCUAGUUGGUAAGGUAACGGCUUACCAAGGCAACGAUGCGUAGCCGACCUGAGAGGGUGAUCGGCCACACUGGAACUGAGACACGGUCCAGACUCCUACGGGAGGCAGCAGUAGGGAAUCUUCCGCAAUGGGCGAAAGCCUGACGGAGCAACGCCGCGUGAGUGAUGAAGGUCUUCGGAUCGUAAAACUCUGUUAUUAGGGAAGAACAAAUGUGUAAGUAACUAUGCACGUCUUGACGGUACCUAAUCAGAAAGCCACGGCUAACUACGUG